GGUGAACGCUAGCGGCAGGCUUAACACAUGCAAGUCGAGGGGUAUAGUUCUUCGGAACUAGAGACCGGCGCACGGGUGCGUAACGCGUACGCAAUCUACCUUUUACAGGGGAAUAGCCCAGAGUAAUUUGGAUUAAUGCCCCAUAGUAUAGUUUAUUCGCAUGAGUAGAUUAUUAAAGUUCCAACGGUAAAAGAUUGGCAUGCGUCCCAUUAGCUAGAUGGUAAGGUAACGGCUUACCAUGGCGACGAUGGGUAGGGGUCCUGAGAGGGAGAUCCCCCACACUGGUACUGAGACACGGACCAGACUCCUACGGGAGGCAGCAGUGAGGAAUAUUGGUCAAUGGACGCAAGUCUGAACCAGCCAUGCCGCGUGCAGGAUGACGGUCCUAUGGAUUGUAAACUGCUUUUGUACGAGAAGAAACACUGCUACGUGUAGCAGCUUGACGGUAUCGUAAGAAUAAGGAUCGGCUAACUCCGUGCCAGCCGCCGCUGUAA
RNAcentral lists this ribosomal RNA (494 nucleotides) under uncultured bacterium. RNAcentral describes it as "partial 16S ribosomal RNA". It matches the Rfam family "Bacterial small subunit ribosomal RNA", at positions 28 to 523 of the family's 1533-position model. The record is from RNAcentral.